RNAcentral lists this ribosomal RNA (1346 nucleotides) under uncultured bacterium. Its description in RNAcentral is "partial 16S ribosomal RNA". It matches the Rfam family "Bacterial small subunit ribosomal RNA", at positions 28 to 1381 of the family's 1533-position model. The record is from RNAcentral.
GACGAACGCUGGCGGCGUGCUUAACACAUGCAAGUCGAACGGAAAGGCCCUGCUUUUGUGGGGUGCUCGAGUGGCGAACAGGUGAGUAACACGUGAGUAACCUGCCCUUGACUUUGGGAUAACUUCAGGAAACUGGGGCUAAUACCGGAUAGGAGCUCCUGCUGCAUGGUGGGGGUUGGAAAGUUUCGGCGGUUGGGGAUGGACUCGCGGCUUAUCAGCUUGUUGGUGGGGUAGUGGCUUACCAAGGCUUUGACGGGUAGCCGGCCUGAGAGGGUGACCGGCCACAUUGGGACUGAGAUACGGCCCAGACUCCUACGGGAGGCAGCAGUGGGGAAUAUUGCACAAUGGGCGGAAGCCUGAUGCAGCAACGCCGCGUGCGGGAUGACGGCCUUCGGGUUGUAAACCGCUUUCGCCUGUGACGAAGCGUGAGUGACGGUAAUGGGUAAAGAAGCACCGGCUAACUACGUGCCAGCAGCCGCGGUGAUACGUAGGGUGCGAGCGUUGUCCGGAUUUAUUGGGCGUAAAGGGCUCGUAGGUGGUUGAUCGCGUCGGAAGUGUAAUCUUGGGGCUUAACCCUGAGCGUGCUUUCGAUACGGGUUGACUUGAGGAAGGUAGGGGAGAAUGGAAUUCCUGGUGGAGCGGUGGAAUGCGCAGAUAUCAGGAGGAACACCAGUGGCGAAGGCGGUUCUCUGGGCCUUUCCUGACGCUGAGGAGCGAAAGCGUGGGGAGCGAACAGGCUUAGAUACCCUGGUAGUCCACGCUGUAAACGGUGGGUACUAGGUGUGGGGUCCAUUCCACGGGUUCCGUGCCGUAGCUAACGCUUUAAGUACCCCGCCUGGGGAGUACGGCCGCAAGGCUAAAACUCAAAGGAAUUGACGGGGCCCCGCACAAGCGGCGGAGCAUGCGGAUUAAUUCGAUGCAACGCGUAGAACCUUACCUGGGUUUGACAUGGAUCGGGAGUGCUCAGAGAUGGGUGUGCCUCUUUUGGGGUCGGUUCACAGGUGGUGCAUGGCUGUCGUCAGCUCGUGUCGUGAGAUGUUGGGUUAAGUCCCGCAACGAGCGCAACCCUUGUUCACUGUUGCCAGCACGUUAUGGUGGGGACUCAGUGGAGACCGCCGGGGUCAACUCGGAGGAAGGUGGGGAUGACGUCAAGUCAUCAUGCCCCUUAUGUCCAGGGCUUCACGCAUGCUACAAUGGCUGGUACAGAGAGUGGCGAGCCUGUGAGGGUGAGCGAAUCUCGGAAAGCCGGUCUCAGUUCGGAUUGGGGUCUGCAACUCGACCUCAUGAAGUCGGAGUCGCUAGUAAUCGCAGAUCAGCAACGCUGCGGUGAAUACGUUCCCGGGGCU